Molecule: long non-coding RNA, 2311 nt
Organism: Alexandromys fortis (reed vole)
Lineage: Eukaryota; Metazoa; Chordata; Mammalia; Rodentia; Cricetidae
Exons: 4
Source: RefSeq, a predicted model, not a curated record
AAAAGUGUUUACACAAAAACCGUUGAGCAACACAGUGACGCGUCUUCCCCGAAGAGCCUCUUGGACAUGCAGUGGGAUGUAACACAAAGGCCUGCCAAAUGGAUCUCAGGCAGGCUGGCUCUGUUACCCUCCCUUUUCCUUCCUCCUCCUCCUUAUCCAGUCAUUGAUAUCAGAAAGAGCUGAAGGCUACUGGGGUGUGUUUGCGUAAGAAAGUGGGAAGUAUGCAGACAUGUAAGUGGCAGCUACUUGGACCAGUAUCCAGAAAGAGCAAUGGUUCCCUUAGUGUCAAGACCCCAAGCCCACAGAUACAGGGUCUUCAGUUUCUACUGCUCUAAAACUAGGUCUUGGGUGUUGUCACAGGGUAGCUGGAACUUGGGGUGACUGAAGAGGAAAGACAGAUUCCCCAGGAGGCCUGCCUAGCACUCACCCACUCAGCUUGAUACACCCUGAAUGUUGUGUUUAUGAUCUAGCAGGUGGGCCAUUCUAUGGUGCUGAGAGCAGAAUGAAAUAUCCUGGCUUUGGGUUGCAUUUUCUAGUGCAUUGGGAAUACCUGGAUGUGCCUGGUCCAUCACCUUCCUCAGUGCUGGCAAGGAAAAUCUGCACUUGAUACAGGUAAAAGCUCACAAGGGAAGGAAGAAAACCCAGCCCUGCUCCUCCAGGAACUUACACAGGGCUCUUCAGGACUGGGGGAUGGGCAGAUGCCAAGGGAGGAGGCCUGGUUGAAGGGAAAAUGGAAAUGGGAGGGACGAUUCCCAGAAGACAGGACAUGUGCACACACUGAGUGUUGAAGAAGAGAGGACAAGUGACUCAUUAGGAGGCAGAGGAAGAUGCCCUCCAGCAAGGAAGAGACUAUGCAACCCACAGGUGCUUGAAGUUCCUGAGGCACAGCAGGUUACCUCCUGGAAGGGUCACAAGACCUAGGACACCACACCGAUAUCUCUACCCCGUGACCACUCAUUCGAAGCGGGGCAUGGUGUUGCCUACCUGGAAUCUCAGCACUGGGGAAGCAGAGGCGUGAAGAGCAGGAGUUCAAGGUCGUCCUCAAUGACCUAGCAAGUUUAAGGCCAUCUUGACUACAUAAGACCUCCAUCUUAUAAACCAAUAUUAUGGGCCAUGUUUGUCUUCUUAAGACCCAAUUAUCAACUACCUCUCAUCUGAUAUUCUUUCAACUUCAAGUGGAAACUUCAGGAUGUCUCAACAUGCCACAAGCGUCCAGCACAUCAAAAGUUAAGCUCGUCAUCAGAGCAAGAGUUGUACUUCCAGCAACACCUACUGAUGACUCUUCUGUCUCACAGUGGCCAUCAGAGCAUGCCCUACCUGAACUCGAACUCUAUCCCUGGGAUAUUGUGGACAGGAGCGAUGGAAGGAAAAAGGCCACAGAUGGAAACAUGUCUACAGCUAAGAUCACCUACAGAACCUAUAAAUGCCUGGAUACUGACCAUCUGGACGUGAGCAGCCCCAAAGCUGGUCAUUCGUGAAGAGUGAAGUACUCAGUGUGCGGGGUUGGCUUCUAAAAGCACCUGUGAAAUUUCCAUGCCCUGGUGGCCCUCUUUUCCUGAGACACUGGGCCUGGCCACAGUGAGUGACUGGAAGCAUCUGUUCCCCGUGAGGCAAAGCGGUGGAUCUAAGGGAGGCUGAUAUGACUUACACCUGGUACCGGAGGGAAGGAGCAGUCAAUGGCAGAGGCCACAGCAAGCGCAGGAACACUCCUGGUCUUGACCUUUAAAUGCUGCAGUGUUCUCAGGAUCGGGACAAUGGAACAGGUGCUCGGACGUGUGGGUAAAUAGCCUGCUGUAACAAGCUCAACUGAGCGUAUACAAGUCAGAGGGAGAACUCAACAUCGCCAGCCCCCACUCUUCAUUGUUUUCUGUACAUACGUGGGGCUUUCCCCUUAGCAUCCAACACCCGGAACAUCCGGGCGUUCUAGGGAAAACUCUACGUGGUCUCACUAUGAAUGACUCCAUUCUAAGUUGUAUUUUAUUGAACCCUGUUCCUGAACUUGCCCAUUCAGGCUAUUUUCCUGAUGUAUUAGAAGCUAUAAAAGAAUUAGAAACAAGGAUCCUGGAGAGGCAACAGAGCUGGUGGGCAUGGCUCUGGAAAUACACCCCAACUUCAAAGCCCAGCUAGGAGCUAUGUGCCUGGGAAUACGUUACUAAACCACCCCAUCCCUCUGUUCCAUAAAAGGCUUAUAUAGUUUCUAAGGAAACACUAUACAAAGUCACCUAUACAAAAUAAAAUAAUAAGUUCUUGAUGAGUGGUGUACACCUGGCUUAUCAAUAGCUAGUUUCUACGGUGGCUGACCAGGUGCUCU